AAAAAUUCACAAAUUGGAUUACUCAUUGUUCCUUUAUCUUCCCCUUUCGAUUUCGAAGGGUUUUGAAUCUUUUGAUCGAUCUCCUCAGUAGUUUCUCUCCGAUCAACGUCAAAUGGCUAUUCUCACAGUCCAACUCUUCUCUCCCAAAUUCUCUAACUCCUCUUCAACGAAUCUCCUCAUCCACAACCACAAGCUCAGAACCACCCGAGUCUGGUGCACCCGCGGCUUCAGCGACGCGUCGCUUGCAUCGGAGCUCGCCGCCAAAGUCGCCAAGAUCAAUUCCGACUUGCUUAAGACGGAGGAGGCCAUGAAGAAGAGCCGAGAGAUUCUCUUCGGAGAGUUGUGCGAGUAUCUUGGCUUGAAGGAAGACGAGGUGAAGCACAAGUGGAGGAAAAUCGACGGAGAAGAGAAAUCGGCUUUGAUCAAAGCGUUUUUGGAAAAGUGGGGUUCGAAUUUUCACCCCUUAUCUGCGAGGUCUGCGAAGGAGAUGAUGGAGGAGUAUUUGCAUGAAGAGAACGAUUCUUCGUCUGUGAAAUCAUCUUCUGAUUCUUCUGCGUUCUUGUUUCCUGGAUUGAAGAGGUUGAUGGGGUUUUCUCAAUAGCAAACUCAGAGCUCUCCUGAAAAAUUCCUGGUAUAUGAUUCCUGAUGGAGCAAGUGCCUGGUUCAUAAGAUACAUGGAUUUGGAUUUGUGAGCAAAUUUGCUUGGUAAGCUCUUUAGCUGUCGUCUGAUAAAUUGGGGAGACAUCAUCUCAGAAUAAAGGGAACUCCUAAGCACUCCUUCAAACAAGAGGCAAUCUAUUCCUUCAUCUUUUGUUCCUUUGUAGCUACAAGUUCAUGCACAAUUUAAUUGUAAAGUAUUAGCUUUGUUCCAUUUUAGAACUCAACGAGCUUUAAAUGAAUCUUAAGCUCAAGAUUUGAACAUAUUAAGGAUUCCCAUGUUGGUUAGAGCUAGGUUGGAAAAAAAUUGUACAUAUAUAAUAAAUAUUUAUUAAAUUAAUGGUUUAAAGUUUUGGAGAUGAAAGCGGUA
This is an RNA transcript of Neltuma alba, 1027 nucleotides long. RefSeq lists it as uncharacterized. The record is from RefSeq and is a predicted model, not a curated record. Lineage: Eukaryota; Viridiplantae; Streptophyta; Magnoliopsida; Fabales; Fabaceae. The transcript is spliced from 3 exons.